AUACUGAGGGUGCGAGCGUUAAUCGGAAUUACUGGGCGUAAAGCGCGCGUAGGCGGUAAGUUAAGUUGGAUGUGAAAUCCCUGGGCUCAACCCAGGAACUGCAUUCAAAACUGGCUCACUAGAGUAUGGUAGAGGCAAGUGGAAUUCCAGGUGUAGCGGUGAAAUGCGUAGAUAUCUGGAGGAACAUCAGUGGCGAAGGCGACUUGCUGGGCCAAUACUGACGCUGAGGUGCGAAAGCGUGGGUAGCAAACGGGAUUAGAAACCCAAGUAGUCC
RNAcentral lists this ribosomal RNA (274 nucleotides) under uncultured bacterium. RNAcentral's name for it is "partial 16S ribosomal RNA". It matches the Rfam family "Bacterial small subunit ribosomal RNA", at positions 523 to 796 of the family's 1533-position model. The record is from RNAcentral.